UUAAGCUAUUGCCUAUUCUGCAUUUUCGUUUCUUCCUAGUGGCAGUAGAAUUGGCCUAUGCUAAAUUCAGGCAAAUUACGAUCCAUUUCUCACAAUGAUUUUGAAUUUAGAUGUUGUCAAAAUGACUUUCCUACUUCGACCAAGCUAUGCACAGCCGAACUGGACGUGUGGACCUUGUCUGGCUAUAAUUGAAUAGACCUGAAUUGGCUGUAUGUUGUGUCAAAAUUCAUGAACAUUUGGACGUUUAAAAGCAUUGCCAAAUAAUUAUGGAUAAUAGCCGCUUUUAUAAAACCGUAUUGGUUCGAUGGUUAACGCACAAAAUUGGCACAUCUACAAGAGGAUUCAAGGUAAAUAAUUAUUGAAGUGUUUCUUAUUUUUGUGGACGCGUGACUCGCUCAAAUAUUGAAGACUAAAAAGCAAUGUCAACAGUCGUAUGUCGAUACAAUAUGUAAAUCAAUCUGUGAGUCACUAUCUUGAUCAUUUUCCGAUUUGUCAGGAGGCAAAUGGUGUCUCCAAAGAAAGUACAUGUGCAGACGACAUGAAACUUUAGACUGCAGAAAAUUGCACAAGCAGUUAUCAAACUCAUGUCACAGAAGUGGUAAAGGACAUGUGUGACAACUGAAUGGU
Paramuricea clavata is the source of this 627-nucleotide non-coding RNA. The record is from the annotation of a GenBank genome assembly. NCBI's taxonomy places the organism in Eukaryota, Metazoa, Cnidaria, Anthozoa, Malacalcyonacea, Plexauridae.